GGAGGAGGCCAGGCGACCGCUGGUCUCUAGAGAGGCUGGAGGAAAGUCCGAGCUCCACAGGGCAUGGUGCUGGCUAACGGCCAGUGGGGGCGACCCCAAGGAGAGUGCCACAGAAAACAAACCGCCCCGCCCUCUUGGGGGCCGGGGUAAGGGUGAAACGGCGAGGUAAGAGCUCACCAGUCCCGGAGGCGACUCCGG
This 198-nucleotide RNase P RNA is filed under the name Deltaproteobacteria bacterium. Its description in RNAcentral is "partial RNase P RNA component class A". It matches the Rfam family "Bacterial RNase P class A", at positions 1 to 198 of the family's 367-position model. Rfam says of the family: Ribonuclease P (RNase P) is a ubiquitous endoribonuclease, found in archaea, bacteria and eukarya as well as chloroplasts and mitochondria. Its best characterised activity is the generation of mature 5'-ends of tRNAs by cleaving the 5'-leader elements of precursor-tRNAs. The record is from RNAcentral. Lineage: Bacteria; Pseudomonadati; Myxococcota; Myxococcia.